UACGAAGGGGGCUAGCGUUGUUCGGAAUCACUGGGCGUAAAGCGUAUGUAGGCGGCUAAGUAAGUCAGGCGUGCAAGCCCGUGGCUCAACCACGGAAUUGCGUUUGAAACUACUUAGCUUGAGUACAGGAGAGGAAAGCGGAAUUCCCAGUGUAGCGGUGAAAUGCAUUGAUAUUGGGAAGAACAUCUGUGGCGAAGGCGGCUUUCUGGUCUGUUACUGACGCUGAGAUACGAAAGCCAGGGUAGCGAACGGG
RNAcentral lists this ribosomal RNA (253 nucleotides) under uncultured bacterium. RNAcentral describes it as "partial 16S ribosomal RNA". It matches the Rfam family "Bacterial small subunit ribosomal RNA", at positions 524 to 776 of the family's 1533-position model. The record is from RNAcentral.